This 433-nucleotide ribosomal RNA is filed under the name Loxerebia innupta. RNAcentral describes it as "partial 28S ribosomal RNA". Lineage: Eukaryota; Metazoa; Arthropoda; Insecta; Lepidoptera; Nymphalidae. The record is from RNAcentral.
AAACCUGCGAAACUCGAAUGAACGAACGGGGAGAUUCAUCGACAUCCGACGGCGUACGGGCGCGCGCCUCGAUGUCGCGCCGGCGCCCCUCGCGGGUGCCGUCGCGCGGCACGGGUCGCGUCCGGUUGCCGCGUCCGUCGGCGUCGUGCACUUCUCUCUCAGUAAUGCAUCGCGACCCGUUCUCGGUCGGCUUAAGCGCCGUCCGACUCGCCCAGCGGUGCGGCGCUCGCGCACGCCGCUGGACCGUGACGGUCGCCGGCCGGCCGGGGACGGUAGUUGUACGAAUCGCGCACGCGCUUAGCGCGCGUCCGGCCCGACGCAAGCUCGCGCCGUACAGUGUCGCUUUCCUGCCUUUGCGCGGACAGCGACGCGGCGCCGCUGCCGUCGCAGCCGUGCAGUCUCGGACCGUGCGCGUAUCAGUCUGCGAUGAGUC